AUGAUCACCAUGAGGCUGUUGGGAAGCAUGGAGCUCUGGCUGGCCAACACCUUUCUGCCCCUGCUGCUCCUCAUCUGGCUGCCAGUUGGAACAGCCAGUCAGAUGGUAAAGCCAGUCGCCACUGUGCAGCUUGAGAUUACUUUGGAGAAUCUCACAGUGCAGAAGAAGUGGUACAAUCUUGAAUGUCUGGAGAGGGAGAAUCAAACCAACCUUGUGUUUCUGGGAGAAAACUUUAUGAAUUUCACCAGCUCAAACCUGUGUACAGACCACACAGGAAUCUGUGUGUCUGGGGUCUUCAUCAUACGAACAAACUCAGCAGAUGCUAGAAAUCAAACCAACACUGUGUUUCUGGAUAAAAACUGUAUGAAUUUCACCAGCUCAAGCCUGUGUACGGCCUGCACAGCAAUCUGUGAGUGUAGGCUUUUCAUCACAAGACCAAACUCGGCAGACACUGGAAACAGUACGCAAGCAGCAGAUCCCAGCUGUGGCUCUCCAGGAUCUCAGACUGAUGUCACAAAGAAGAUCUGGACAGGACUCAACCUCCUCCUGUGCAUCCUCCUUGGCUUAGCGGUCGGGACGCUCCUGUACAUGCCGGUAAUUGGCUUCCUGCUGUGGCAGCGCAGAAGGAACAGAACAGGAGAGCUCAUGAGCGGGGAAGUGGCAGAGGGGAAUCAGGUCAAUACGGCAGCCCCGGUGACAGGGACUGAGGAUCUGACUUACGCCAACCUGAAUUUUGAAAAGAAAGGGACAGCAUCUGCCUCCUCCAACGUCAUUUACACUGAGAUCAAGCCAUUGCAACAGAAGCAGAGUGAUGGGGAUGGCAGUGCUGCCAGCACGGAGGUGGAUGUCUCCCCCAAGGAAGAGGGAAAAUGAGGGAGGUGAGCAGCUUGUUGUCCACCUGUUGGGCUUGUCCUCAAAAACUAGAUGUUAGCUCUUAUAGCAGUGCAGUCCUGGGGACCAAAGACACCUAUUACCCUGAGUGGCUGCAGAACCCUGCUUUAUGUUCCCCUGGAACACAAACCCUGCUUUAUGUUUCCCUGGAAGAAGCCAUGUCUCACAGUGAGGACAGGAAUCUUAAGCCCAUUUUCCCCUUGCCUUCUGCAGCUCCAAGCACUGCCAUGCCUCAGCAACUAUUUUCAGUGUCUCCAGUUGCUGACAGGCUCCUCUAGCUGCUUGUUCUGUGUUCAGGAAUGACACUGUACACUGUGUGGCCAACAUGGUGUUCAGGAAGAGCUUGGUCCUGGACGUGCUGGGUGGCACAUGCUGGCCAUGAGAAAGCUGGGACAUUCCUGGAGCAAUUUUCUGGAUUUUCUCUAGAGCAGGCACCUGCUGUGAUGUGGGUUGACCUUUGUUUCAUUCACUCACUUGAAACACAAGGGGCAAGGAUGGAAAAGCAUUGCUUGCUUCACACAGGUUCUGCUGCAGUGAUACACAUGGAUCUGCUUUGUACUGGGAGUGGCUAGGUGGUUUUGCUGGUUUGGUGGUGAAUAGUCUUCUCAUAGACAGAGCACUCUCUUUUGUGCCCUCUUUUAUUGAUAAUGUUGUGUUUAUUGUGAGUUUUUCAGUAAAACUGUGAUUCCCACAUGUGGUCUUGCCUGGUGUUUCCUCUGCUGUUGGAAGAGGCUGGGGGAAGAGGAGCAGCUUGAGAGGAGUUAAUUUUCCCACUGGGUUUGAAAGCAGCACAUAGCUCUAAUGAUUUAGUGUUACAGCCACAAGAGAUGUUGAAAUUCAGAGAUUACCCCAAAAAGAUCAUCCAGAUCUUCUGGGUUAUUCUCAGGGCAUAUGAUCCAACUUGGGCAGAUGUCCAACCAUUAAACAACCCAUCUCAUCAGCUUCUCUGCCAGGCAUGACAUCAGCAGCACCUGCAUGACCA
Molecule: long non-coding RNA, 1873 nt
Filed under: Chloebia gouldiae (Gouldian finch)
Lineage: Eukaryota; Metazoa; Chordata; Aves; Passeriformes; Passeridae
Description: Erythrura gouldiae (Gouldian finch) lncRNA (ENSEGOG00005007185.1)
Source: RNAcentral